AUACGUAGGUGCCAAGCGUUAUCCGGAUUUACUGGGCGUAAAGGGCGUGUAGGCGGUCUUGCAAGUCAGAAGUGAAAUUCCUGAGCUCAACUCGGGCGCUGCUUCUGAAACUGCAGGACUUGAGUGCUGGAGGGGAUAGCGGAAUUCCUAGUGGAGCGGUAAAAUGCGCAGAUAUUAGGAAGAACACCGGUGGCGAAGGCGGCUAUCUGGACAGUAACUGACGCUGAGGCGCGAAAGCGUGGGGAGCAAACAGGAUUAGAUACCCUGGUAGUCCACGCUGUAAACGAUGAAUACUAGGUGUAGGGGGUAUCGACUCCCUCUGUGCCGCAGUUAACACAAUAAGUAUUCCGCCUGGGGAGUACGGCCGCAAGGUUGAAACUCAAAUGAAUUGACGGGG
This 397-nucleotide ribosomal RNA is filed under the name uncultured bacterium. RNAcentral's name for it is "partial 16S ribosomal RNA". It matches the Rfam family "Bacterial small subunit ribosomal RNA", at positions 523 to 918 of the family's 1533-position model. The record is from RNAcentral.